This 252-nucleotide ribosomal RNA is filed under the name uncultured bacterium. RNAcentral describes it as "partial 16S ribosomal RNA". It matches the Rfam family "Bacterial small subunit ribosomal RNA", at positions 524 to 776 of the family's 1533-position model. The record is from RNAcentral.
UACAGAGGGUGCGAGCGUUGCUCGGAAUUACUGGGCGUAAAGGGCGUGUAGGUGGUAAUGUAAGUCUGGCGUGAAAUUUUUCGGCUUAACCGGAAAGGUCGUCGGAUACUGCAUCACUAGAGGACGGUAGAGGCGUGUGGAAUUCCGGGUGUAGUGGUGAAAUGCGUAGAGAUCCGGAGGAACACCAGUGGCGAAGGCGACACGCUGGGCCGUACCUGACACUGAUGCGCGACAGCAUGGGGAGCAAACAGG